This 42098-nucleotide long non-coding RNA is filed under the name Malus domestica (apple). Lineage: Eukaryota; Viridiplantae; Streptophyta; Magnoliopsida; Rosales; Rosaceae. The record is from RNAcentral.
CAACUAGCAGCUUUGUCUUCAGACUCUAGAACCCGAAGGCCGAGAGUGUUCCUUCCUCGGUCGCAGUCGCAAGAUCGAAAAGUCAGUCGUGCACCCAACGCAACAUCAACAAAUUUUACUCCCUGGCCGAGCUCGGCUGAAGAGUUGGCACACCCCGCAUACAACCGAAUGACAUAGUUAGCUUACUAAUUACUCAACCUGCGCACCACGUAGAUUUAGUAGUUUUUAGGGUCAACAGCUGUACUGUGAGAAUAAGCAGCAGAGUGUUUGGUAAACUUUUUUGUAAAAGUGCUUUUGAAAAAAAAAAAAAAGCAGUAUUAUAGUGUUUGAUAAACUUUUAUGUAAAACAGAUGUGAAAAAAAAGCUGGUUUUUCAAAGCUGGGUUUUGCAACUUACCAAACCAAGGCUUAACCCAUCUCAUGUAGUCUCUGUUGCGGUUUAUAUAUUUAUAUAUUAGUUAAAAUGUAAAUAGUAGUAUGUUGUCUUACAUUUACAAAGUGCAUAUGUAAUAUCAAUUGUAACUCAUAUAUAUAUUCUACUUUAGAGAUUAAUGAAUAUACAAGAAAUUCUCAAAUAUUGUCAUAUAUAUUUUUGGUAUUUUACCAUGUUUAAUUCAACUUAGUAUCAGAGCCAGGAAGCGGGCUCGUACUGUACUGUCACGUAAUGGGUGGGUUCCCUUGGCCUCGCGCGAUAAUGGUGGGUCUCUUGGCCCUGCGUGUAGGAAGAGUCCCCUUGGCUUCACAUGGUUAUCGAGAUGUGUGGAUCUCCCACGUAUGAUCCACUAAUUGGGUCCCAUGUGAGACCGACUAAUUGGGUCCCACGUGAGGGGGUGUGUUGAAAUGUCCCACAUCAACCGUAUCAAUGAGAAAAGACAAGUUUAAAUAUCCUAACCGCACUCCAAUUAACACCGAGACUUUUUGUGAUAAAACCUCACAAAUGACGGAUUGUGCAAGUAGUAAUUUCUAAGUUUGGGACAAUAUCGAUGUUGUAGGGGACAAUUCGCUCUUGGUGAUUUGUGUGCUUUAAUUUUGUGACCAGCUUUCUUAGUAUCGUGCCAAAAAAAAGAAACGGUGAUGUGCUAAAAUACAUUACCAAAGUGCCAGAAUAGUGAUUCCGCUAUAGUGUUCUGGUAAAUUAUCUUAAUUUCGCUGCUUAUCUUUUGUGCCUUUAUUGUUCAUGUUUUAGCUAAAUGACUCAAUAUAAUCACAGUGUUGUUAUGCAUCUUGGUGGAACAAAUAUAUAGAUAAUUGAUACUGGGGCCACUCAUCAUGUGACUGGUGACCCUAAAGUGUUUGAUGAGUUACAUGACUGUAUUCGUGAUCUGUAUUUUCUAGUGCAAAUGAAGCAUCUUUUCCUGUGAAGGGUGAAGGCAUUAUCUCUCUCACUCCGACCUUAUCACUGGUCUAUGUUUUACUUGUUCUUGAUGUUAAGUGUAAUCUUUUGUUAGUAGGAAAACUACUUGAUACCUUAUAUUGUUUCGCUCACUUCUACCCCACAUAUUGUUAUUUUCAAGACAUUUAAACUCAGAAGAUAAUUGGUCGUAGUAAAAGAAUUGGGGGUUUGUACAUCUUAACUAUGGAGGAUAUUGUUGCUUCAGGUUCAAAUAAUCAUCAAGUUCUAAGUGCUAAAAUAGAUAACAAACAUCAAAUUUGGUUGUGGCAUCGACAUUUGGGACAUCCAUCAUUCAGUUAUAUGAAGCAUCUAUUUCCUUCUUUGUUUCACACUUGUAGUGAUUCAAAGUUCAAGUGUGAAACAUAUGUCAUGACCAAGAGUCAUUGUGCUUCAUUUCCCAUAAGUGAUUAUAAAGCUACUUUGCCAUUUGAUUUGAUACAUUCUAAUGUGUGGGGUCUGGCGAAGGUUACUUCUAAUGGAUUUCGUUGGUUUGUUACUUUUAUUGAUGAUUGUACUCGAUUAACUUGCGUGUUCUUGAUGAAGAAUCAGAGUGAUGUCCCUUUACUUCUUCAAAAAGUUUGUGCAAUAGUGUCUACUCAGUAUCAGACCAAAGUUAAGGUCUUCAAGUCUGAUAACGGAAGAGAAUAUGUGAAUCAAACUUUGGCAUGUUUUUUUGUAACCAUGGUAUUAUUCACCAGACAACUACUCUUUCUACACCCCAACAAAAUGGUGUGUCCGAAUGGAAGAAUUGUCAAAUAAUAGAGGUUGCUCGCUUCUUGAUGUUGGAUAAAUAUGUUCCUAAUCAUUUGUGGGGUCAUGCUAUUUUGGUUGUUGUGUACUUGAUAAAUCGUGUUCCAAUUAGGGUUCUUGAUUUUUAGACACCAUUUGAUGUGCUACAAAAACAUGUUUCUCCUAUUUCUAUAUCCAAACUUCCUCCAAAUGUGUUUGGGUGUGUGGCGUGUGUGCAUGUCUACUCUCAUCAACGGAGUAAACUUGAUGCAUGUGUUUUUCAAUGUGUAUUUAUUGGAUAUGCUAACAAUCAGAAAGACUAUAAAUGUUAUCAUUCUUCGACUUAGAAAACUUAUAUUACCAUGGAUGUCACCUUCCAUAAGGAAGUUUCUUAUUUUGUGGUGCCGACUCCCCACUUCAAGGGGAGAGGGGAGUGAAGUGCAGAUUCGAAAAGAUGGUAUGGAUGAUAUGUUAUAGGUAGAGUUAGGGACAGAACCUGUUAUGCUGUGUGAUACUGACUAGUCGGCUAUAGGUGACGAUUGGUCGUUUGUCAUUUUCAAUAUUGUUUCUACUGAUGACUCGUUAGAUGUGCCCAACGAGUUGCUUGUUAUUGGUAUGUCUGAUGAAUUGCCUUUUGAUGACUAGUUGUCUACUGCUAGGAUGACUAACAAGUUACUUGUUGAUGGUUGUCCGAUGAUGACCUUCUAAUGGUUUAGUACAAGAUGGUGAUACACAUGAGGUAAAUUUUGAUGAUUCUUCUACUUAUUAGUUGCCUCCACGAGUUAAUCAUGGAAAACCUAAAAUUAUGAGCAUGAUAUGCAUGCCAAAGCCAAGUAUCAUAUCAACAACUAUGUGUCUACUCAUCGUUUGUCCAAACCAUAUGCAUCUUACAUAUGUCAGUUAUCUAGUGUAUCAAUUCCAAGAAAUUGCAGGAUGCUUUGUCUGACCCUAAGUGAGUUAAUGUCAUGUGUUUGUACCGUAUUUGGAGCCUCCGUAUUUAGAUCUCGUAUAAAUACUUGAGGGACUCAAACGUAAUUAUGUAAUAAAUGAAGGGGCAAAUAUGUAAUAAGUGAAUAGCCCUUAUUCUAUAAAAUGACUCAUCACUCUCCUCAUUGAAAGAGGUCAAGAUUCAGACCAUGGGAAGAGAGAAAAUAGGCUAGAGAGCACAAUGCCUCUAGCCUUCUUGUAUAUUCACCAUUCAAAGUGAAACAAUAUCAACAUCAGUAUGGAUGUAGCCCAAACAUUGGGGUGAACCACGAUACAUCUUGUGUUCUUUACUUUCUUGCAGAUUCACGGUCGGAUUUACGUUGUUCCAAGACCUCUCCGGUUUUGUGCAUCAACAUUUGGCGCCGUAUGUGGGAAACGAUACGAAACGUUGUGUCGGUUCUCUUUCAUUUUUUCACCUCCGCCGUGAAUCUGCAAAAUCACAAAAACCCAAGAAACCAGUCACAUCUCUCUCUACACAUUGUUCUCACUCACUUUCUUCUUCAACACCUUUGUCUCCUCCUCAUUACCUCAAUCCAGCAUCUGGGUUCUGUUGUCUUUUCGUUUUCCUCACCUGAGUUUACUUCCAUUUCAUCGUAUAUGCGAUCCAAGUUUGAAGAUUUCAGAGAGCUGAGCUCAAAAUUUGCAGAGAGACGAAUGAUCUGUUUCUCGAGCUCAAAAUUCCAGAUGUUAGUACCAUCUUCCUCCAAGCAUCGAGAUGUGAAACGUGGAGGAGGAGCCAUUCGCUUCAAGCAAUCUUCUGGACCCAACAACGACAUCAAGCUCUUCCCUUGCUUGGAUUGUGGUGGGGACUUUGUGCUCUCUAGAAAAUCAACGAAGAAAGAGAGGCUCAGAAAAUUAAGUGCUCUUGGUACUGCAAAAACGACGAGCUUUUGAGACUGCGAAAUAGGUUGCAACGUGUCUAACAGACGCUGCCGUCAACCACCAGCCAUGAAGGUGCGCUCAUGAGUUCUGUAAGACAGUUUAGCGCCGUUGGAUGCGUCGACUUCUUCCACGAAUUCCGGUCUGACGGAAUCAUGGGUGUCUGAUCUCGUGGUCGCCCUUCAGGCCGCCAAGCGCGUGAACCAGGACAAACCUUCCCCAUUGCUGUUUGUUGCUUAUUCCUCUCGAAAACCCACUAUCUCUACUCAUUACCACAUUUCUCUCUCUCUCUAGCCAUUCCUUUUAACCAGACAUUCACAUUCUCCCGAAAUCAGUUCACCAGAAACAAACGGAAAAUCAAAUCGAACCAAACAAACAGAAAUUUCGUUAACCCAUCUCUCAAAAUCCCCAAAAUACCCAAAUCCAACGUCAAGUUCCAACCUUUUUGUCCCCUCAUUUCUCGAAUAUAUUUGAAAUCCGAUGGCCGAAACCGUGUUCUCGAAGCUCUCCGACGACGUCGUUCUGAAUAUCCUCUUCAAGCUCGAGGAGGACCCGCGGGACUGGGCUUGGCUCGCUUGCUCCUGCACCAAGUUCUCUUCCAUGAUCCGCAACGUUUGCUGGAAGAUCAAGUGCUACAAGGUCAUCCCCUCUAUCGUCUCCGAUCUCCUUACCGGCUCCACCGAGCCUGCCGGCGGCUAGGCCGCCCUUCAUAAGCUCGUUGUUUCCUGCCCUGGCCUCCUCCACUCUGGUGUCCUCUUCGAGAACUCCGACUUUGGGCUCGAGCGCGAACUCGGUCCUGACGAGAAUUACCAGAGAUUGGACUCAAAUCCGGUCGGCGCAUCUCCAUCGGCGAAUCCUCCAACCGAGGCUUUCUCGAGCCAAAUUGACGCGAAUCAGGAGAUGGGUUCAUUUGGAAAUGAUUGUUCUUGGUCUCUAUUCGAUAAUCUUUAUUUUGAUAGUCUAUAACGAUUCUAAAGUCCAUCAAGAGCAAGAUAAUCCCCAAUUAUAAUCAGCAGCGGCGGAGGAGGAUCAAGUCACCGUGGAGAAUAGCGCCGUUCGAGUGGGCCGUGGAGAAAGCCCAGAUUUGAGACACUGCCGGCCAGGAAAGCCAUGAGAGAAUGGUAACUUUUUAGUUAGCUGAGCUGAAUCUUACUGGUGGACGGUAUGGACGGUAUGUAUGUUUGCUGUAAAGCAGGCAUGCAAAUCUGCAAAUGAGCAUGCUCUGAAAAAUGAACCCAUUAUUCUUGAAAUGGACAUUUACAGGUGCCAUGGUCACUUUAUGUUUGAUCACACAUGAUGAGAUUUCUGGCAUAAGGCAGCCACCCACGUUUUCAUACAUGCAAGUGGAGAAACAAAAGCAAAAGCAGAAAGCAAAAGUAUAAAAAAUAAAAAUAAAAAAUAAAAAAAAUAAAAAAAAAGGAAAAUAUGUCAGGAGAUGGAGAAAAGCUGAGGAGGAAGUGGAAAACAUAGCACACCCAUACCCAUUGUCAUUGAUGAAUAUUUUAUUAAGUUGUCUUCUGCAAACUAAAGCAAUUAUUGUAUAGUUAUACUGAUGUGUAAAAAAGGCAGUAUGCCAAAAAAAAAAAAAACGGCAAGCCCAACAUAAUGGGCUGGAAUGUUAUGUGGAGGGCGAAGGCCCAUAUGCCUAAAAGAGCCAGGCCCUAUGGCUUCAAACUCCAACCUCCAUCCCUCCACUUAAAGUUCACCCUCUAUUAUCACCAACCAGGUGAUCAAAAGUACGUCCAGUACUCCAAAAUUAUUCGGUAGUCUGCCGUUAUUAUCACCAACCAGGUGAUCAAAAGUACGUCUAGUACUCUAAAAUUUUCGGCAGCUUGCCGCUAUUAUCACCAACCAGGUAAUCAAAAGUACGUCCAGUACUCCAAAAUUAUUCAGCAGCCUGCAGCUAUUAUCAUCAACUAGGUGAUCAAAAGUACAUCCAGUACUCCAAAAAAUCAUACAUGAGCAUCACUCAUGUCAAUCAUACAUAAACAUUCAUGAGCAUCCCUCUUCACAACAUUCAUGAGCAUCACUCAUGUCAACAUCCAUGAGCAUCACUCAUGUCAUUCAACAUAAACAUUCAUGAGCAUCACUCAUGUCAAUCAGCUUCGCUUUAUUUACAGAGCUCUAGCUUUGAAAGCUUCAUUUACAGAGUUCUAGCUUCGAAAGCUUUAUUUAUAGAGCUCUAGCUUCGAAAGCUUUCUUUACAGAGCUCUAGCUUCAAAAGCUUCAUUUACAAAAGCUCCAGCUUCGAAAGCUUCAUUUACAAAGCUCCGACUUCAAAGCUUCAGUGCAUGGUAUACAAAGACCACAUCCGAACAACCGCCACUUCGGCCCAUACAUGGAUUGAAUUUGAAGUCUACAGCCAACAGACUCUAUUGACUGAAGACUUGGGGGACUACACUAUGUACCAUAUAUUGGGCUUCUACAACUGGGCCUCAUGAAAAAUACUUGGGGAACUUGGCCCAUUAUUUAUGUACUGAGGAGCGAACCCUUAUUCUAUAAAAGGGACUCCCUCACUUUCAUUAGAGAGCACCCAUUAUUCAUGUAUUGAGAAGCGAACCCUUAUUUUAUAAAAGGGACUCCCUCACCUUCAUUAGAGAGAGACUUAGCUCAUCACUUAUGUAUUGAGGAGCGAGCCCUUAUUCUAUAAAAGGGACUCCCUCACCAUCAUUAGAGAGCAUCGCCGUCAACUGAGCAACCGCCUCGUCGCGAGAAUCACUCCUAACCCAUCACUUAUGUAUUGAGGAGCAAGCCCUUAUUCUAUAAAAGGGACUCCAUCACCAUCAUUAGAGAGCAUCGCCGUCAACUGAGCAACCGCCUCGCCGCGAGCAUCACUCCUAACCCAUCACUUAUGUAUCAGCAUCAUUAGAGAGCAUCACCGCCAGCUGAGUAACCUCUUCGCUACGAGCAUCACUCCUAACCCAUCACUUAUGUAUUGAGGAGCGAGCCCUUAUUCUAUAAAAUGGACUCUCUCACCAUCAUUAGAAAGCAUCACCGCAAGCUGAGCAAGCCCCUCGCCGCGAACAUCACUCCUAACCCAUCACUUAUGUAUUGAGGAGCGAGCCCUUAUUCUAUAAAAGGGAAUUCCUCACCUUCAACGCCACAAGCUGAGCCAACCAAGGCAACAUAAGCCACAAGUCGAGCAGCCUCAUAACAUGUGCUACUUCUAGUUGAGCAUCAUUUCACAUUGAGCACCGCCUCAUAUCGAGUAUCAAUUCUAGAAGACAUCUAGUUACUUCGGCCCACACAUAAACUGAAUUUCAAGUCUCCAGCCAAAACACUCUCUUGACUGAAGACUUGGGGGACUACUGUUUGUACCAUAUUUGGGGCUUCCGUAUUUAGACCUCGUAUAAAUACUCGGGGGACUCAAAUGUAAUUAUGUAAUAAAUGAAGGGGCAAAUAUAUAAUAAGUGAGAAGCCCUUAUUCUAUAAAAUGACUCCUCACUCUCCUUAUUGAAAGAGGUCAAGAUUCAGUCCAUGGGAAGAGAGAAAAUAGGCUAGAAAGCACACUGCCUCUAGCCUUCUUGUAUAUUCACCAUUCAAAGUGAAACAAUAUCAACAUCAGUGUGGACGUAGCCCAAACAUUGGGGUGAACCACGAUACAUCUUGUGUUCUUUACUUUCUUGCAGAUUCACGGUCGGAUUUACGUUGUUUCAAGACCCCUCCGGUUUUGUGCAUCAACACCAUGAAUGUUGAGAUGGAAGAUUUGGAAAAGAAUUCCACUUGGGAUUUGGUUCGGUUGCCAAACAGAAAGAAAGCUGUUGGAUGUAGAUGAGUGUUCACUAUUAAGCAUAAAGCAGAUGGUUCUAUUAACCAACAUAAAGCCAGAUUAAUUGCUGGGGUUAUACUAAAACCUAUGGUGUGGACUAUUUAGAGACUUUUGCCCAUGUUACCAAACUCAACAAUGUGUGUGUUCUUCUAUCUUUAAUAACAAAUCAAGAUUGGCCCCUACUGCAGUUUGAUGUUAAGAAUGUUUUUCUUCAUGAUGAUCUUAAAGAGGAAGUUUAUAUGGAUCUCCCACCUGGUAUUGGCAUAUCUCCUGAAAAAGGUGUUGUGUGCAUAUUGCAAAAGACUUUGUAUGGUUUGAAACAAUCUCCUAGAGCUUGGUUUGGGGGGUUUACAAGUUCAAUGAAGAAGUUUGGGUAUUUUCAAAGUCAUUCGUACCAUACUUUGUUUCUAAAGCGACAAAAUGGUAAGCUAACUGCAUUGAUUAUUUAUGUUGAUGACAUGAUAGUGACUGGUGAUGAUCAGGAGAAGGUACAACACCUUCAAAAGUACCUAGCUACUGAAUUUGAGAUGAAAGAAUUGGGUGAAUUGAAGUAUUUUCUUGGAAUCGAGGUUGAACGAUCCAAGCAUAGUGUUUUUCUGUCUCAACGGAAGUAUGUUCUUGAUUAAUUAGCUUAAAUAGGUGAUUUAGAUUGCAAACUUGUUGAUACUUCGAUCGAGCAGAAUCAUCGUCUGGCCUUAUUUCUGGAUCAAGUUCCUACUCAUAAUAAACAGUAUCAGAUGCUUGUAGAAAGAUUAAUUUAUUUGUCUCACACUCGCCCUAACAUUGCUUAUGAAGAUAGUGUGGUAAGUCAGUUUAUGCACCCACCUAGUGAAGCUCAUAUGGAUGCAGUAAUCCAUAUUUUGAGGUACUUGAAGAUGGCUUCUAGUAAAGGCUUGGUUUUUUACAAGAAUAGUCAUUUGAAUGUAUAAGGGUAUACGGAUGCAGAUGGGGCAAGUUCUAUCACUGACCAGCGAUCUACAUCUGGAUAUUUUACUUUUGUGGGUGGUAAUGUAGGUACUUGGAGAAACAAGAAACAAUAAACAAAACGUUGUGGCUAGGUCAAGUGCUGAAGCUAAGUUUCGUGGUAUGUCUGAUGGUGUAUGUGAGUUGUUGUGGUUGAAAAAAUUGUUGAGAGAUCUUGGAUUUAAACCCAAGGGUGCUAUGAAACUCCAUUGUGAUAACAAGGCUGCUAUUGAGAUUGCUCAUAAUCUAGUGCAACAUGAUCGAACAAAACAUGUGGAGAUUGAUCGACAUUUCAUCAAGGAAAAAUUGGAUGUUGGAAUUAUUACUUUUCCGUUUGUGGGAUCUCAAGUUCAACUUGCUGAUGUGCUUACUAAGGUUAUGUCUAAUAGUGUGUCUUCCAACUCGCUUGACAAGUUGGGCAUGUGUGACAUCUUUGCUCUAACUUGAGGGGGAGUGUUGCGAGUUAUAUAUUUAUGUAUUAGUUAAAAUGUAAAUAGUAGUUUGUUGUCUCACAUUGACGAAGUGUAUAUGUAAUAUCAAUUAUAACUCCUAUAUAUACUCAACUUUGAAGAUUAAUGAAUAUACAAGAAAUUCUCCAAUAUUGUCAUAUAUAUUUUUGAUAUUUUACCAUUUUUAAUUCAACUGUCUCAUGAUUCUCACCCCAUACCAACCAAGUAAUUUAAAACCCUAGUUCCACCAAUUUAAAUGGGCACACAUUAUUUUCCUCUCUGUACUUAGAUUUUUUAAUAAUUUUUUUUUUAAAAUUACAAAAAUAAUUAAAAUAAUUUGUCAAUGCAAAUCAUUAUUGGAAACUAGAGCAUGAAUGAAAUGGACUGCCUGGAGAGAGUGAGAGGGAUGUGUUCAAACGGUUUAUAGCAGCAGCUUUUAGCUUUAUAUCAAGGGAAUUUUAACGAAAAGCAUCCGGUACUGUUCACUUUAACGAAAAACCAUAUUUUUAUACUAAAAAGUCGAUCAUAGUACUAUUCACUUUACCCUUUAUUUUGUCCUUAUCAUUAGAGCAAGUCCACCGGGAAGAAGAGAGCCCGGCACUUAGCCAAAAAACAAGGCUGGCACUCAGCCAAUCCUCUCCACCCCGUGCUUGCCUGGCACCCAGCCCAAGCUGGUCUCCAGACCAGCUCAAAAUUGACAGAGCAAUGGACUGGCCCGUAUGACGCCAACAUGACAUCAGUCACCAUUUUUUUUCCUUCAUUUUUUCCGCGCCAGGUCAGGUCAAGGGGGAAUACCUGACUGUAUUUCUUCUCCACCAAAUGACUCCCCAUGGGGGGAAGACGACUCCAACCCCAUCGUCGUCGACGGCAAGUUCUGCAGAGCUGGCACCAAGAUUGAAUCUUUUGGUUUUGCAGGAGUUGGGUUUGAGCUUGUUGAUGAUAGCAGAUGAGGAGGGGAAGAGUUAGAAGAUGGGAGGGAAGUGCAGGGGUGUGCAGCGGUGAAGUUGAGAAAUGAUGUGCAGGAGUGCAAGUGUGCAACAGUGAAGUUGAGAAAUUGAGAAAGGAAGUGCAGGUUAUGAAAUUGAAAACAUUUUAAUUUUUUUUAUUUCUACAAAGUCAGAAAUUAAAUAUAAAUUAUUAAAAAAAUUAUUAUUUUAUAAUAAAUAAUAAUAAUAUUUUAAUAAAAUGGACUAGGCAAUUUUUUGUUAGGGAUGGAGAUGCUUUGGUCUAUUACUGUUCACUGGGGUCUAUUACUGUUCACUUGAGUGGAUAAAUACGCUGGGUGCUGGCACAAAGUCCUUAGGGGUGGACUUGCUCUUAAAAUUCAAAGUUUUCAAUCCAUUUUCAUUAGUUUUCCUUAUUUUGUUAAUAAGUUAAUGACAAUAAUAAAUUAAUAUAUAAUAAUUCUAAUAAUUAUGCUUAUUUUAUGGUUUGGGAAACAAUUGAACAUAGGGGAAGUAGCCCAUUAGUGAUGAUUAUGUUAACAGAUAAAAUUGUUUUAAGGUUUAAGCUUUAAUCCACAGAUUAAGAUUGAGAUUACUGUGUACAGUAAGGAAAGUGGUUUCCACUGAGCAGCAAAAGACAAUGGCUGCAUGAGAUCUGGGAAUGGUGCUUUGUGGGCUGGUCAAACUGCCACUGCAUGGGAGCAGACAGAUGUUCAAACUUUUUCCAUAAAGAAUCUCCCAGAACUCGUCUUCCAUCGACACUGAAGAGUGAAGACGCUCGCACCAUUUCAAAGGCAAACGACAAGCUUAAGACACAAAAUCCAUACUUUCACACGCUAAUCAAGGUGACAUGUUCCUCGAUAGUUGAUUCUCUCUCUCUCUCUCGAGUCUCACCCUCCAUAUUUAUAAAAAGAGUAAAUUGUAGUUAUAGUCAUUUAACUUUAAUUCAAUUGAAUAAAUGAUCCUUCAACUAAAAAUCUAUUACCAUUAGUCCCUCAAUUCAUCAAAACGUGCAGCUAUGGUCCCCCAACUAAAAAUUUAUUACCAUUGAUCCCUCAACUUUAAUUCAACUGGAGAAAUGCUUUCUUAACUUCAACCCAACUGUAGCAAUGGUCAUUUCAACAUAACUCGUUUUGACAAAUUUUUUAAUGUAGUUGACGAAAAUGACCAUAAUUACACACUUUGAUGAGUUGAGAGACCCUAAUUGUAUAAAUGGUCAUUCCAACAUAACUUAUUUUGACAAAAUUUUGAUGAAAUUGAUGAAAAAGACUAUAGCUACACAUUUUGAUAAGUUGAGGGGCCAAUAAUAAUGGAUUUUUAGUUGAGGGACUAUUGCUUCAAUUUGUUUAAAGUUGAGGGACCAUUGCUAUAAUUUACUCUUAUCAUAAACUAUACAUUCCACGCUAGUGAGAAAUCUUUUAGUAUGACAACAACACUUCACAUAGCAUAAUCUCAAGUAUUAUAUCUGUAAAUUGUGAGAAUGUAAAGAAAUAUUUUAGACAAUUUUUAAAGGAGAUGUAAAAAAUAGCACGUAAAUAUACAACAGUAAUAAUUAAAGUACUAUUUAUUCUAACUGAGAUGUCAAAGCUGACAUGAAAAAGAAGGCUAAGUUGAUAUGGACAAAGAAUUUGAAGCUACCUUCAAAUAUGAUUUUUGCUAUUUCCAAAGACAUUUCACUUGUCUUACCUUAAAUGUUAGCAUAUUUAAGUUUUAUUUUAUUAUUUUUAAACCAACAACAACCCAACUUUUAUUAUUUUUGUUUGAAAAAACAUAAAUGAAACAAUAAAUUUUGACAUAUCGGGUGGAAGUAAAAUCUUGAUAAUAUGUCAAAUUGUCAAAUUAUCCAUCAAAUUAAAAUUUGAUGUUUUGAAUUUGACGUCUCAUUUGGAGAUACUCUUAUAUUGGAAAACUGAGAAAUUCUAUCACGAAUUAUAAGAAGAGGGGGUUAUUUCCUCUAUAGCCAAUUAAUUGUACAGUAAAUUUUAACUUUUAUAGUAUCAGAGUCGGUUAACUCACGUAUGAAGUCUAGUGGUCUCACUUGCUUCAUGUCAACUAAUAUAUGGUAUUAAUGUGAAGAAAUGUAUUAAACCCUGUAAAGAGUUUAUAAUGAAUUGAGCCACUUCUCUUAUUGUCAAUUUGUCUCAUGAUGAGAGAUUAACAUACUUUAUAGAUAAUAUAAGUGAUACAUCACAAACGUAAUAUAUAUUAUUAAUAAAUAAAUUCACGGGUUAUUAAAACAUUUAUAUAUGAACUAAUAACAAUAUGUGGUAGUGGCACUAUGUAACAAUCACACUAGGAAAACUUCUUCACAUUGAUCACUUUUAUAAAUACGUUGUUUAAUUCUUAAACACUUGAACAGCUGGACUUCCACAGGUGCUGGCUGCUAUUUUCUUCCACCCCAUGUUACUUCCAAGUCCGAUAAACUAAAAAUAAAAAAAUAAAAAUAAAAAUAGCUCAGAAAUAGUUAAGUUUUUGUUAAGUAUGAUGGGAUCAGAAUAAAACAAAGAAAGUGAAAAAGAAAAGUAAUUUUGGUUAAACUAGCGACAUGCUUUACGCUUAAUCCAAACUUUUCAAGUUUUCUAAUUUGAUGAUCAUGUUGUUCUUUCAGUGCUAGAAUCUAGGUUUGACCCAACCGGUACUAUAAUACCGCAUGCACCUGUUAUACUUUUUGCAGCCCAAUUAUCUUCUCUUGUGAUGAUCACUCUCUCUUAACUGUCUCCACCAAAUCCAAAUCUUACUUUAAUUGUUAGUAGAUUAAUGAUUAAAUAGCUACAUCUACCAAUAUGAUGGUCUUUUAAUGAUAAUGCUAAUUAAGGUCAUUCAUUUUGUUCAUCAAAUUAUUUGUCAGUAUACAUUAUCACUUAUUAGAAUUGGUGAGAUUUUAAUAUGUCUUACCAUUUGACGGAAGUUUUACUCUAGAUCAUUAUCGAGCUCCUAGAAUUAUCGAAUUCACUAUUCAGUAUUUGAAACUACAAUACAAAAACAAAGUUGUUAUUAGCACUUCAAAUCCUACACCUCUCUAUUUUUAUAUUAGAGUGCUACUUACGAAUUACGAUUCUAAAAUCAAUUGGACGAUAAAUUGAUAAUAAACAACUAUUAGCUUCAAUUGAUGGGGUUGUGUCCGAUCAUUAAUUUUUCAAGUGACUAAAUAUGUUUGAUAAAGUUCUCAAUGGGAAAAUUCAAUCUUGUUUUCAUUUUUUUAGUAGUUUGUGUGCUAAUUUUAGGCAUUAUUGUGCAACAUAUGUGCUGGUCAAAUUUUGUUCUCCUUAGCUAAGACAUGAGCAAUGGCGUAGCCAUGUUAAGGGUUACCCUGGGCUAUAAACCAAGUAGCUUUCCAUAAAAAAUUAAAAUUUUACAUAUAAUUUUUAUUGAUUUUUGAAUAUAGCACAUCAUAUAUUUAGUCACUAAUCCUAAUUUUCUUGGUUUAACUAUAUAAAAUUAUAUAAUACAGUUUACAAAUCAUCUCUUUUUGUUUCGUCAUUUUUCUAAUCACUUCUUGUACAUGUACACGUUUGGAUUUGUUUGAAUUUUAACACGUAUUUGUUUAAUAACGAAAAUUCUUGACUCACAUUGUGAAAAUUUUCUUAAGCUAGACGAUACUGUGAAAAAUACAAUAUCAAGAUUUGAAUGUUUAAGUUAGCCCACUCAGUGAAAAUUUCCUAGCUCCGCUAUUGGACAUGAGUUGGCCAAUAUCAAUCGUUUUCCAUUUUAAACUAUAUGACUCUCUAAGAUUAAUGAAUCAUCUUUCUUAUUUAAUUAAUUAAUGAGAUCAUGGAGAACAAAUAUGAAAUAGAAAGCUUGGGAAACAAGGCAAGUAAACGGAAGAAUCCGGAUACAUAGAGAAUAUGACCGACUUUUACAUGACCGCUUUGAAAAGUAAUAAAGAAAAUCUGAGAAAAAAAGUACUAAUACAAAAAGAUAAAGGCCAAAAAAGAAAUUGAAAAAGUGGAAAAGCAAAUAAGAUGGUAUAAUUUGUAGCAAACUUAGGCAUUACUCUUUUCUGUAUAAUUGGAGUAACACAUUCACACUAUCCCUUCAUCCUCAAGAUUAUAACUUAGUACUAAGAUAUCCACAGAUGACAUGACACACCACCUUGGAUUCCACUCACGGAUUCAGCACCAAUCUAUAACAUAACAUGCACAUUUGUUGCUCAUACUCAUUGCCUUUCAUUUUACCAAAUAGUAAGCUAUGAAAAUCAAUUACAUAUCUAGAGUAAACUCGACAAUGGUUCAAUUUCGUAAGAUAUUAUUGUAUUUAGUUUCAAUUUCGUAAGAUAUUAUUGCGUUUAGUCCAUUUUGUUGAGUUAGGUAUGUUUAUUAAUUAUUCACAUUAGCUUAUUUUUAUCAUAUUUUCUCCUGCUUCCAAUACGUAUCUCAAUAUUUUCUUUUACCUCCAGCACAGAUUAAUUGUACAAGCUAAUCAAUGUUGUAAGUACUAUAUAUAUGUAUACAUCAUCACAUAUACUAGUAUGGAUUAUAUAUGUAUACAUCAUCACAUAUACUAGUACGAAUUUAUAAACGUAGGAAGGUUAAAUUUCUUUGAACUAUUUUCAUGGAUGAUAGGUAAAUUAAGUUUUGUUUAUUUCCAUAUAUUAUGUCUCCAUCACAGGUUGAAUGUAUUUAAUUAACCUAUAGUGUAGGUAUCAUAUAUGAUGUGAUAUAAUAUUAAAAAUUUUAACUAUUUUUCAGGAAAGUGGUCAGAUCUUCAUUUUUAAAUAUUCAAAUUAAAAUGUAAUAAAGAUGCAUAUAUAACACAAUAUGUUCCCUAUAAUUAUUCCGAUUUUCACUUUCGUUUACGUAAUUUUUAACUUUCUUUUCAAUCUUCAUCCUUGUAGUUUCACUAAUUCCAUUAGGAUAUGAUCCACCAAUAAGGCCAUUCCAACUUGGGUUUUUUCAUAUGAGACGAUGUGCAAAAAUAUGGAUGUAAAAAACAAGUUAAGAGUCGAGGAAUCGGACUAAAGUGAAAACAAAACAAUAUUACAAGGAUGAGAAUGCAACAAAUAACUACAUGGAUUAAAGUGAAAGUUCAAGGGAAUUAUAGGAACUACUAGUACAAUUCGUGAGUAUUAAGCAUAUAGAUGCGAAAAUUUUCUAGUGCAAAUAUCAUAUUAUCAACAACGUGUUCCAAUUAACGAUAAUAAUUGUUCAUGAUCGAUUUACGUUUCUCUACAAAGAUAAUUCCGCGAAAGAUAAAUAAAAAUUUGAUCCUUGAUGAACAACCAAAAGAAUAGAAGAUUUUGAUCAUUGAGUUACAUAAUAGGAUCCCAAUGAAGAUCAAUCUCUAUAUGCAAAAAUCUCACUAGAAGCUGCCCUAUUAAGCUCACACAUAUCUAACACAUACAAAACUAGACAACAACAGAAGCAAGAGAAUAUGUUGGGUAAGGGACUAUAGAUUCUUGGCACUGGAAGAUAUGAUUAUUUUAUGUACAUUACAAAAUGUGGGUCAACAUAGAGACAUGUUUGCUUGCUUGCAAUGGAACACCGAUUGACCAUAUCGGCUGAUGGACGCAUCUAAGUGCGCAUCACCGGCCACAUGAGUACCAAACAUUGGCUAAUAAUUUUUUGUUUGUGUAUUCAUUUGUACUAGAAAGCAUCUUCACUAGGUAACAGCUAAACUAACCGAAAGUAAGGGGGGAUUUUGGCCUCUUUCAUAUAUAUAUACACACAUGUCCUUCACCAAGUAAUGCUUAUUAUACAGAGCCGGCCUUGAGGGUGUGCAAGUGGUGCCACCGCACAAGGCCCCCGAUUACGAUUUUAUUUUACCUGUAGAUAUAGUAUAAGUUUUUAAAUUUGCAAUGAUAUACCAAAGUCAUCUCAUAGCCCAAUUGUCUUCCGCUUCUUAUCCAUAAUCCAUGUCUAUGAAAUUGGGUUUGACUUUACCCGGUGCUUUUUUUUGUGUUUUAUUUUUUUGGGUAUUUAAAAGCAUGGUGUUUAUUUAAUGUUUUAUUUUAAUUUCUUUCGUGUUUUAUUUUAAUUGUUUUGGUAUUUAAAAGAAUGAGUUCUGUUUUAAUUUUGUUUAAUUUAAAGCAUGGUGUUUCAAACCCAAAAACAUAGGGGAUGUAAAUAGGUGCCUAACCGCCACACUAAGAUUUUUUUUUCCUUACAUCAUCUCAAUUAUAUGUGAUCAUAAUUAAAUGUAAAAGAAAACAUAGCAACAAAAUGUUAGACCCUCUAAGGGCUUUUUAUUGGGUAUGUUAAAAUAAAGAGUUUCAAAUCCAAAAAUACACCACCGAAUUUUUUUUUUUACACAGCAAAUAGAUAUCUAACCACAGCACGAAAAUUUUUCUUUAACUCAAUCUAUAAAUAAUCAUAAAAAUUAAAAUGUAAAAGAAAACAUAUCAACCAAAAUUCUAUACUUAUUAAGGGCCUCCCUUGGAGUCUCGCACAAGGCCCCCAAAAUCUCAGAGCCGACUCUGUUAUUAUAGAUAUGGUCAGGAUCAAGACACACGUUUUUUACGUAUAUUCUUAAAACAUACAUUGUAAUGUUUUAGUUAUUUAGCCGUCUAAUAUUUAGGUCUUCAUUCAAAAAUCAUUUCUACCGACAUUAGAUAAGCAACUUUUAGUCUCUUUUGAGGUUUCGGUUGAGUUAUGUAAUGCUCUUUCUAUUGUCCCUAUUUUUUAGCAUCCUCCUCCAUAUAAUUGGGUGAAAGCAACUUGUUGUGGGGUCAAUGGAGAUUCUAUGGGUUUUUUUUUUUUUGUGGGUUUUCUCAGAGUUUUGAGCAUCAUGCUGUCAUCCUCGCAGUGGAGUUGGUUCAUGGGCAAGGCUGUCAAAAUUUGUGGCUAGAAAGUAACUAUUCCAACAUGAUCUUCUUUUCUUUUGACUAUUUUUCUCCUCCUUGACAGCUCUUAACUCGUUGGAAAAAUCGUCUUCUCGUUUUGCAACACAUGGUUUUCCGUUGCUUUCAUAUUUUUCGAGAUAAGAAAGCGGUCACGAAUAAAUUAGGAAAUUAAGGGUUGCUCUUGUCUUUCCUUGUGUGUCAUCCGGUUCUACCCUUGGAGACUCUCCCUUUACUGCACACAAAUUUUUUGGGCAUCCCGACCUAUAAGUUUGUCUCCCCUUCUUAAUGAAUUUAUUUUUGCCUGAACUUCUUGUUAAUUUGCUUUGCAACUUGUUUUGCGGGUUAUUAUCUUUUACAUUUUGUUUUAGAAGGGUUAGGUCUCAUGUCCCUCUUCUUUUUCUUGUAUCUUUUUUGUUUAUGUUUUUAAAAGAGUAAGAUUUAUAUCCCUGACUAGGUGUAUUUUUUUUUUCCUUCAACAAUUAAGUUAGUAAUUUCAUAAUAUUACCUGUACACCCUAGCUUGACAAUAUUUAUCAACGCACGGGCAUGCCUUGUAGAUAAAAGGCAGGCUUGAUUUAGUCAUGGAAAUUGGCAAGGGUAUUAGGUUUAAGCUAGGGUUACAUCAGCCAUGCAUGCGCCGACCAAUUGCAUUUACAUAUAAUACAGUUGAAGCACAUGCCUUACAACUUAAGCUUUGGACUUGAUUGGACUUGAGGCGCAGUAGUCAAAUUGUACAACGUGGAUGCAUGUACCAGGUAGUAUAAGAUUAGAUAAGCCAACUGGGGUAAUUAGGUUAAUUUUUUGUCUAAUUUAAUCACUUUGUGAGGCUUAACGGAAGCAAAUGUACUAUAUGUGUAUUACUUUUUCUAUAAGAUCAUCCUCGAAUAACCUUGAAGUUGAGAUUGUUAAAUGCAAGUUAACAUAAAAAAUAUUUGAGAGAAAAAUAUUUUACAAUUUAUAUUGAAUAAUCUGACUUUUAAUUGUAUCAAAACCUUUUUGUGAUACAACCCAACAAUUUGAAAAUGAUGGAGAUUUUGCAUAACUUCCAAGUUGCCAAACCAAACCAAGCCCCUUACUAACUGGUUUGGUAGGAUUGAUGAGAUUGAGCCUUAAAAUAUGAUUAGAUUGAGAUUUGUAAGACAUGAUUUAUAAUCAUGUAGAAUAAUAUGUUAGAUAACUCAUUUUAUUGUAGAUUAACAACUCAUUAUGUCUAAUCUUGUAUAUCUCACAUGUAGACAUAAUAAACAACAGACUGAGCUCAAAUCUAUUCUAAAGAUGUGAUAGGACAUUAUAUCUCUUUCGGCGGGAAAGUUCAAAACGGUGGCACUAAUUAGAAGCAAUUUUAUGCUUUUACACGAGUAUGCAUUGCAUGUGUGACUCAGAAACAGAAAGACGUGGCAAGCAUGCGCUUCAUAUAUACCAUCCUCUGGAUCUGAAAACCUUUGAAUGAUCAACGGUGGAAAAGUGGCUUCAUAAAAUAACAUAAAGUUUGUUUAUUUACAAAAUAAAAAAUAUUUAAAAAGCUAUGAACGUCUUUAUCCAGUAUUCCUUGCAGUAAACAAGUAAGCAUGUCCCUUAAUUAUUUUUAAUUCUUUAAUUCAGUUUGUUUAAUUUUUCUAUCCAACCAAAGAAUAUGCUUAAUUAACUAUGUUUACUAUAUUUAAUCGGGCUUAACUAUUAAGUGGAGUUUUGAUGCUUUUGCUGAUGAGUUUCAUCAUGUGCAAUUGUGCAUACAUUUUGUGACGAGAGUGGGACAGGAGAGAGAGCGUCGGCCAACGCCGGCAGCUGUUUGCCAAGUGGAGAAGCAAAGCGACGCGCCGGAAUAAUCUUCCCGGAAAACGACGACGGUUGAAACAAGCAGAAGGGUUAAAGCGGCUUGGGUUUGACUAGGAUAAAAUAAUAGACGGUUUGAAGGUGCCAAAUCAUUGCAAAAUACAGAUUCUUUUAUUUGCCUUCUUCAUUAGAACAAAAUAUUUUUUUAUUGAAUUUUUGUUCAACAAAAUUAAUUAUUUUUCUACGCUGAUUUUCAAAAAAGAAAAACUCUGGCAAUUAGGUUGUAAGAAUAUCUAAACACUAUAUAUGUUUAUUUUGUCAAUUUUGAGUUUUAUUUUAGACUGUUUCGAUGACAAUUAAGAUCGUUGAAAUGAAUUGUUUAUGUAUUUGAUACGUAUGGUGAUUAAGAAAUAGCCAAUUUUAAUAUAACAUGUUUAUCGUAAAAAUUUGUUAAUCACAUUGGUUAAACAAGAGGCAUGCUAGGAUCCACACCAAUAUCGUACGAUAAAUAAUUAUAAUUCAAUUUAAAAUGUUCAUUACAAAUGGAUAUUACUACUUAAAGCAAUAUAAAGGAGGAUGAAAGUGUGUACUCAAAACACGAUGAGUUAAACAAAAAAAUCAUACUCACCAGAACAAUUUACCGCUUCAAUACUUCGAUUGGGUUUUAUGACGACUUAAAACUUUGUUUAGCACAUGUGGUUUGAGGGAUAUAUGGCCCCAUGCAUGUUAAUUUGUUAUUAUGUUGACUCCAAAAUCCAAAUAUUUGUUACUUGUGCUCUUCGCUUCCUGUCGUCAAUCUUGGAUAUUCUUGUCUGUUUUUAUUCAUUUUGUUUUCUAAGUUCAAGUUGUCUCACUUGCGAUACGAUUCGUCUUAUAUAUGGCCUGACAUAAAUACUACGAAAUAAUAAGCAAUAUUCAGAAAAGAAAAAAAUUAAAAAAAUACAAUUUAAAGGAUAAGCGUUGGAGGUGGAAAGGUAUGUUUCCUGCAAAUGAGGAGAGAUUUUUCAGUGUGAUCGGCAUACGAGGUGGUACACCACAUGUCACUAUACAAAUAGUGGGAUAUGUGUAUUAAAAAGUUAAGGAUUAAUCUCAAUUUACUACCUGAAGUUUCUUAGUUAUCAACAUUUAAUACAUGAAUUUUUUUUCAUCCCAAAGUGGUAUAUAAAGUCAUAAUUUUUGGACAGUUUCAUAUAUCCGUUAAGUUUGAUGUUAAAUCGGCGUGGGAUAACAAUUGCAUCGAUGGAAAAGGACAACGAGAUCCUAUCAUCGUCGUCUGGAGGAAGCCAAUCUCUAGCGUCGCAGAGGCAGAACAGUUGGAUCAGACCGACUCCGACUCAGAACAAAACCCUAACCCUAGCUCUCUUGUCAUCGGAGAAGCAGCAAGGGCGGAGCAGCGGUGGAGGAAGGGAAGAUUGUUGGAGCGAAGGGGCGACAUCGGUGUUGAUCGAGGCGUGGGGGGAGAGGUACUUGGAGCUGAGCGAGGAGAGAAUUGAGGGAAGGGGUCAUUGGGUAAGUAGCAAGGGCGGAGCAGAGAGGGAAAACAGAAAAAAAAGAAAAAAAAAAGGGUUGAUUGCUGGAUUGGAUGGGAGAGAGAAAAGAAAAUUGGGAGCGGCGCCAGGGGAGGCGGAGGGGGAGAGGCAGAGGAAGAGGAAGGAUCGUGAUUUUCUGUGUUGGGUGGGGAAGAAGAAACAGAGAGAUGAACCCAUAUUGAUUUUUUAGGUUAAGGUUUGGUUUUUUAAUUUUAAAUUAUAAAUUGUUUUAAUUAUUAAUUAUUAAUUGUUUUAAUUUUUAUUUUUUUUUAAUUUUUUAAUAUUCACGUGGAUCCAUACUGGCACAUGGCACCUAGUCAUUGUCCAUCAGUUAACAAAGGUUCUGACGGAAAACUUAAUAGAUGUAUGAUACUGUUCCAAAAUUAUGAUUUUAGGUACCAUUCUGGGAUAAAAAAAACUUCAUGAACCAAAUGUUGAAAAUCAAGAAACUUUAAAAUAGUAAACUGAGAUUAAUCCAAAGUUAAUAACUUAAAAAAAAAAAUUCUCACCAUUUAUAUAAAAACACAUGGUGUACCACUCAUAUUUUAAUCAAAAUAAAAAAUUUCUCGCAAAUGAGAAUAGCAUUUGACAAAGGAGGGAGGAUAUGUCCGCCGUCCGCUCACUAAAAAUGUUUGCUUUCGGAUGGAACAUCUGUUUGAAUAUGUAGGGAUUUCCAGAGGGUGGUGAUUUGAUGCAAAGUGGGAGCAUUUGCAACAGAAAAAAUAAUGUUGAUAAUCUUUUAAAAUGUCUCGAUCUGUUAAAGAGCUCUAUACCGUCACCUGAUGUCUGUUAAACUAAGAAUUUUCAUUCAUCUAAGUGGAAAAACUAAAGAGUACAUAGCUUUGAAAUCAGAAUUGAACUUUAAAAGCGAAGAUUAGAAGAUUAUUUAAAGGAAGCAUUGUUGGAUUUCCGCUACUUUUAUACCUAUCAAUUUAUCGAAUUUUGAGCUGAAUGAUUUGGUUUCGAUGCAACUGAAGUGAUUAUUAUCAUAAUCCGUUCAUAAUCCAAAUUCAAUAGUUUUUUAGCUUAAGAAACCGAAUAUGAAUAUGAUGCUAUGAUGAUCCAUCCAACUUAGUACAUAUUAUCUGCCCAUAUAUCUUUUAUUAUUAUAUACAAAACAUAUGAAAGAGUAAUUUGAAUCUUCUAGGGAUAUGGAUUUGCUUAUCAAUUGAUCCCUUGAAUUUUCACAUCAAAUUUUGUUUUGAAUUGAAUCGAAUCUUGACUGGUGCAGUUCAUAUCCCAUCUGUUUACAGUUCUCCUUCCUUAUAACAUAUCCACCCUAAAUGCCUGUUUAGUGGGCUGAUUGAGAUAGGUUGUGACUCAUAAAAAUGAACUUGAAUUCAAUCAUUUAUUCGUUGUGUCAAAAUGUAAAAUGAACAUGCACGGAUAUAAUUGAUUAUGAAUCCACACUAAAAUUAGUUAUCAAAAUAUCUUUGUACUGAGUUACAACUCCUGUUUUACAUAUCCCAGUCAAUCAAAUCUCAUUCAAACUACUAAAUAGGUCUUAAAAUUCUAGGGAAUUGUUAUUAGCACUCAAAAAAUCUCAUUCUACACUUCAAACUUUCUAUAUUUGGCAAAAAAAAUACACUUGUUAGAAGUGCAGAAUGAGAUUUUUAAAAUACCAAUAACACUUCCCAAAAUUCUAAACAUAUUACAAAGAAAGUCUAUUGGGUGGUGUUGCCUAAAACAUGACAGGUUGGUGUGAAGUUAACUUGCCCUAAUCUCACUUUAACGGCAAAUGAUGGUAAAAGAAAAAUUCACAUAAGCCCAAAAAGAAAAAUUCGCAUAAGCCCAAAAACCUUGUCAAUUUCAUCAUCAUCACAGCAAUACACAGAAGGAAUUUAUUUCCAUUGGCUCAUGGCCUCUGCGCAGAGAUCGUGUUUCCGCUGGCUGCUGAUCUUCCCACAGGCUUUAGCUGCAAGCAACCAACUGGUAAUUUGGUACAUCAUGUUUUUGUUUUCCUGCUGAUUGAUGCCAACCAUUUCACCUCACACAGCAAAACAGGAAAAAGGAAAAGUACCAACAUUAUCGAAAAAAAAGAAUUUUUUUUUAACGAAACACUCUCGGUACUAUUUACUUUUAACGAAAAACCAUAUUUUACCUGUUUUUAGUACUAUUCAUUACACCUUUAUUUGUCAUUUUUCGUUAAAACUAAAGUUUUUUUUGAACUUUUCGUUAGUUUUCCUUAAAAAAAAAAAAAAGUUAAUUACAUUUCACAUGACCAGGUUGAGGUUGAUUUUUAAAAGGAUUAACUUGGUUACUUAAAAGAUGAGAAUAAGUUUAUCUUUGAAAUAUUCUGUGACCAUUUUUUAAAAUUUUGUGUUUAUAAUAAGAAACAUUAAUACUAUAUUUUACUAUGUAAAAAUUAACUUUGCAAAAAAUCAAUCCAAACUAAGAUUUUUGUUUUUGAACUGAGAGGAGAGUAGGAGAGAGAGAACGUGAGAGUUGGAAUGGGAAGAGAGAUUUUUGUUUUGUUUUUUUAUUUUUAAUAUUAAUAUAUGUUAAAAUCAUAUGUAGAUGAGGCUUCAAUAGAAAACAGCAAAAUUUAGUUUUGUAAAAUUACAUUAUUGCCUUUUUUUUUUUUUGAGAUAGAAGAUUAAAUUAUCUUUUCAUUUAUAAAAGAGAGUUAUAUUAAUAGAUAGUUUCGAUUUCUAACACAAAUGAAUUGCAUGAUAGUAUCCAAAGAAGAUUAAAAUACUUCAAUGAAUUUUCUUGAUCCCAAAAAAGUAGAGUGUCGUGCGAAACCAUCCGUUUUUCCUCCUAGAAAAAAGCAAAAAAUCAAGGGAAGAAAAGUAAGAGGGACAAAAGAGACAAAAGUAAAUUUCAGUGAGGCAGAGCAGAUUUGUUUACAUUGCAUGGAGGGGAAUGAGGUGGAGAAAUGCCAAGUGGAAGCAUGUAAAGGACAAAUGCCCUUCUUAUGCAAUUUCACAAUUCUUUGUUAGAAAGAAUUAAAUUAUUUUCUCUUUAUGAUUUUUAAUUCUUAUAAAAUUCUCAUAAUUAAGGCCUGGUUCCGGUGCAAUAAGAUCCUGCGCCUCAACCGCUAACGAACGAGGGGCGAGUGACUGGCCCACUUCCCUCCCUCACGUUUCGCGUCUCCACCACUUUCACACGGAGGGGUUUUCACAUCCCUCAUAACAAGCCCCCACUCACAUCCCUUAAAUUAAGAGAUUUAUCGGCGUGAUUGUUUCAUCGUCAUAUAGUUUAAUUAUAUUAUAAUAUGAUGGGUUGUGUGAUUAUUCAUCGAUUUGUGGUUACGUCAGGUGUUUAUGAUUAAACUGAAUUUGAAUAACUCAGCGUAUCAAUGAUUUAGUAUUACUGUCUAGUGAUAUUUCUCUUUAUUUAUAAGUGAGAGGUCUUAAGUUCGAUUAUCGCCAAAGAUGAAUUUGAACCACAUUAUGGCUAGCCCAUUAUGAGGUAAAAUUCCAAAAUUAAGUGAUAUUUCUCUUCAUUUGUAAGUGAAAAGUCUUAGAUAAUAUCAUUUGUUAAAAAAGAAGAAGAUAUGUAUGAAACUAAAAGUGAAUUUUAACUUUCAUAAGAAGAUUUUGUCCAUAAGAAGAUUAAAUUAGUCAUGAAGGAAACUCAUGCCUUAUUAUUUUAUCAUUUUGAGAGAAUUGAAGGGAAUAAGUUUUACUUGAUCUCUAUUCUAUUUAAUUUCUUCAGCUUAGACAAAAUUCCAAAAUUAACAUUCAUUUCGUACUAAAAAAUACAUUGAAUUUAGUGUUUUACCUAGUACAAUCCAUUCUUAAUUUUCAAACAUGGGCCAAGUUCGUCAUAUAUUAAUCAUGUCGUUCAUUAUAUUACAAAUAUUUAUUAGUAAUACCAGACGAUAUUACGACCCACCACACAUAAAAGUUAUCGCUCGAAAAAGUUAUCUCCGAUGAUGUCAAUUUAUAUUAUAACACGUGAACUAUCAACACUUUAUAACGGUUGUGAUUGUCAUGCAAAAAAAAAAUAAAAAAUUCAACCAUGUCGUUCAUUCAUGUUUCUAUACAUUUAUUAGUAACAGAAUGACAAAACAACUCGCCACACAUAAAAAUAAUCGCUUGGAAAAAUUAUCAUCCAUGACGUCAAUUUACGUUGUAACACAUGAAUCGACCAAAAACUAUUUUCACUAAAAAUGAUGGUAUUAUCUACACACUCUUUUUUAGUAGCACCCAUACAUUCUUUUUUAUCUUAUAUAAAUUUCUUUUAAUUUUUAUCCGACAGAUUGAAUGAAUUAAAGAUAAUAAACGACAUAACUAUGUUGUAUGUUACUAUACACCUAAUCAUCUGUCACGUAUUUUUUUCACUUAAUUUUAAUUAACUUUCACAUUAAAUAUUACUUUUACUUUAUAAUUAAAGGGGGGAGAAAAAUGGUCUUGGAAGAAAACAGUUGGACUGAAAUGGAAUCAACUUCUUCUAGCCGGACCCACCAUCCCCUCUAGGGAGUUCCCGCGUGUUACCCACGUCCACGUUUCCGCGUGAGCACCCUGCUGGCUAAUGCGUUUCUUCUACUCACUGCUUCUGCGUUUUUGGUUUGCCAUUCGUAUUCGUCGUACUGCUUUUCGGCCCUCCUCCUCCAUCCUGCUUUCUUCUCUCUCCUCACUUUCUCUCUACUCGAUAAAUUAAAUUAAUAAUUUAAUAAACCGACUCACUGUUAAAAAGGUCUUAGGGGCUUCCUCUCAACUUUCAAUAAAGCCUCUCAUCGUCCCGGAGAUACCUUCUUCCUCUGUUCUCUCGUUCUCACUAACCUCUGCUUCUCCAUAUCUGCUGGGUCCCUGUAAGUUUCUCUGUAGGGCCAUCAAACCCAGCUGGCUUCGCCAUUAUUAUACCUUCACCAAGCAGCAAACCCCCAUAUCUCAGACCCAUCAAACCCCACUUUCUCUUUCUACUCUUUUCUCCACUUCACUCUCUGUCUCUGCUCUUCUCAGCUAUUUCAAGGACUACCCAGAUGGCUGAUACGUUAGAUGACCUUGCGUUUUGGCUCCCCACCCAGAUUCUCAACGACGAAGACCCACCCGCCAUGGAGCUCAACUCCAACGCCAAGAAAAGUGGGGGGUUCGGAUUACGGUUCGACGCUGAUGCUCCGAAGGCUCUGUUGCCGUUUGAGUUUCCUUACGGCGGUGCUUUUGGGGUUUCGUCGGAUUUCAGUUCGCCGGUCGAGUCGAGCGAGACUGAGAGCGAUGAGGAAGACUACCUCACCGGGCUGACCCGCCAAAUGGCUUACUCUACUCUCGACGACGAGUUCAACUUCAAGCACUCCAACUCUGCUUUCGCCUCCGAGAAGCCAAAGGUAUUAGAAAGAGUAGUAAUUUCUGUUUUGUUUCUAGACGACGCCGUUUUAAUGGCGGUUCUGAUUUUUUUCCUGAUUCGCAGGGUUGGGUCGCUUCUGGUUCUCCCCAAUCGACUCUCUACGCAGUCAGCAGUGGUUGCGGUUGCGGACAGGGCUCGAGCCGCGGAAGCCCAAACGCCCAGUCGCCGCCGGCCACCUGGGAUCUGCUGCAUGCAGCUGCAGGGGAAGUUGCCAAGAUGAGCAUGAACCAAAGCAGAGGCCUCCUGGAUCCUCCACGAAAGCCUUCCCCCGUCUCUGUCCCCACCAACAACCCAGAUGCUGCUUAUUGCUUCCACCAGCAGUCGCUUUCUCACAAGCACUUGCGAGCCGCUCAGGUACUAAGAAAAAACUCAAAACAUUUUAUUCAAAUCUCUUUGGGGACUUUUAUCGAACACCUCACACUCAAAUGUUUUCUGCUCCGUUUUUUCCGCAGUUUAAGCUGUUGAGGCAGCAACAGAUGAUGAAGGAGCAGAGCGCGGCGGUCUGGGGAGCACAAACUCGAUAUCCUCCGCCGCAGACUCAGCCGCAGACCCACCCAAACUUCCAAACCAGAGCGAGAAACACUCUCAACAUUCUCAACGCUCGGCCUGUGGGUUUGUCGCCAUCUGCAUGGCCGCCUCUGCAACAAGCUAAGCAGCAGCAAGAGUACAACAGAAAGGGGUCCGGAUUGAGAGCUGUUUAUCUCGGAAACCAAUACCCAUCUGCCAAAAUUGAGCGUUCCGGCACCGGCGUCUUCUUACCCCGCCAAGUUGGCACCGAAUCCGAAACCCGCAAGAAGCCAGGUCCACCCCCUCUCUGCCCCCACUUCAUUUUUCACUUCCAGACAAUUUUAUUUCACUUUUUAAGUAAAACCCAGUUAAAAAAAUCCGACUCUUUUUAAGUAAAACCUAGAACUCAAUUUUUUUUUAAGCUUGUGGGUCACAUCAUUAAGAUUUUUGGAUGACUUUCUGGGUAUUUUGGGUGCUGGGUGGUUGAGAUUUGAAUGUUAUUAAAUUUUGUUGGCUCUGGUUUUUUCAGAUCUGGGCGUUGUUCUUCAAAGGCAUUAAUUUGGUCUUCACUUUCUCUUUCGAUUUGGUUGGCUGAUUGAAAUUUGUGUUUUCUUUUGGUACAGUUUGCUCCACAGUUCUACUCCCAGCUCGAGUCGUGCAGGCUCUGAACCUGAACAUUGAUGACAUGCAACAUCCCCAGCUUCAGCGUCGUUUUAAUGGCAAACUGAACUCUGAUUACGGUAAAAAUUAACACCUUUUCUCUUGUUAUACUUUUUUAUUUAUAGUUUUACUGAUAUGCCAAUCUUAAAUUUACAAUUUGUGUUUUGUGUACUCAUUUGUUUCGUUGAAUUUGCAGAGGUUGCUCUUCAGCUUCGGAGCAACGCCGCCGCCAGAACCGCCAUUUCGCAGCAGAAGCGCAUCAUUCGGCCGCAGGCGGCAGUAGGCAGCGAGAUAAGGCUCCCCCAGGAGUGGACUUAUUAGGGCUCUGUUUGGAUUUUGGGAAUUUUAGGGAGGCAAGGAAAUGCAAGCUUGCUAUAGGGUUUUUAAUGGGUUUUAUUUUACAAUAGUAGGAGGUUUUAGAACAGAAGAUAAUAGUAGUUUUUGAGAAGGACAGGACAGGACAGCAAAACCGGUUGGACAAGACGAAGAAGAAGAAGAAAAUGUUUUUUUGGAUUAGGGUUGUUAGGGUGAAAAAUAAAAUGUCUGCUUUGAUUGAAAAGUGGAUAUGGUACAAGCUGUUUUAGGGUUUAGCAGAAAAGCAGAAGCAGCUUUUGUCAAGGAACAAGGCAGUGGUGGACUGGACUGUUAUCCCUCUUUUGUUUUAGUCCUUGGGAUAAUGUUUGUGUUUGGGAUCUCAUAUAAAAAUCAAUGAAGUCUGAAUUGUAAAGGGUUAAGACCUAGUUUUGGAUUCCAAUCUUAAUCCAGUACACCCAUCAUGGCCAUGCAAGUGCAGUUAGUAUUUAUAAUAAUAAAAUGGAUGUAUUUAUAUGCAAUUUCCUUUGUUUUUCUUUAAUUAUUUUGGGUUAUUUGUCACGUACCCGGCACGUGUACAGUUAUCAUGAUGUUUUGUACCAAUGAUAUAAAAUUUGUAACUUUCUUAGUUGGUGUUUUUGGCAUGAGAUGUAAUGGUAUGGCUGGAUAAGUAAAUUUCAUUUAUCAGACGUUACAUGACGUUACAUUAUUGACACGAGAGGUUACUAUGGCCGCUGAAUCAUGCUUUAGAUUUUUGGGGCAGUUGACACGAGAGGUUACUAUGGCCGCGGAAUCAUGCUUAGGUUACUAUGGCCGCUGAAUCAUGCUUUAGAUUUUUGGGGCAGUUGACACGAGAGGUUACUAUGUCCGCCGAAUCAUGCUUUAGAUUUUUGGGGCAGAGGGAUUUGGGUUUUGGUUCCAAGUUGCAUGUAUAUUGGCCAACUUGGUUCUGUUCAACUUGUAUUAGAUUGAAGCUAAAAAGCAUAUACUAAUUAUAUCGCGGUUCAAAAAGCUCUAAAAGAAGCUGCUUAUUAUGACUUUUGCUUUUCACCUUAGUCCGGCAAGAUGGAUAUUUUAGUUUCAUGGUCACAUAUUAACCAUUAAUUAUGUUUGUUUUAGUUGUUAAUUAAAGCAAAUUUUAGUUAAUUAAUUAAUUAAGAGAUGUUGUAAGAUAACUAAAUUUAACUUUAAUUCAUCUCCAAUAGAUGCUGUAAAUAGUUGAAAUAGUUUUUUGACGCUCUUCGCUUGCUAGUUUAAUAAAAACUAGUAUCUUAGAAAUUAUCAAACUGUUGAGUUUUUUUAUGAGUAAUGUCGGUAGACCAAAUUUUUAUCGCAUUUAUAAAUCAUGUAAUGUGUCGUCAAUAGAAAAUAAAAAUGUUAUUCAACAAUUAAAUAAUAAUUCAAUUAUUAACAAUCACAUCAUAUGAUUUCUAAUCAAUUCAGUCAUUGUGGGAAGACUCUAUUAUGAAUUUCUAACCACAUUCUAACGAAAUUUAAUUGAAAUAGUUGGUCUCUUUGCCAUUAUUUCUUUAUUUAAACCCCACACUCAGUCUAAGUUCAACCCCAAAAAAAAUAAAAAAAUAAAAAAUAGAAUUUUUUACACUUAAAAUUCCAAUUUUAGCCUUAUUUGGCCCGCCCUAGAGAAACUUAACUAAAAAAAAUGGAAAAAGAAAGGGGUGUGCUAUCCACACACCAUUUUUUACUUCUCACACAUCAUUUGUUACUUCUUACAAUAUUUUUUUAUAUGUAAAAUUACUAAUUUACCCUCUAAUGUAUCACGUGUAAGUAAUGUGACUUAAAUUACCGAAAAAUUGAAUAUAGCAUCUCCAAUAUAAUAUUGGAUAUGUAAUUAGCAUAUUUUUAUAAUUCAAGACUGAUUUUUAUGAAAAAAAUAAUUUAGAAAUAUAAUUUUCACUCAAGUGAUAAUUUAAUGACUAAAUUGACAAUUCAUCCUUUAUUUUAUUAGUUUUUGUGGGAGUUUAACUGUUAAGUAAGAGGCUAAAAUUGGAAUUUAAAGUGUGAAAAAGGAACUUGUUGGGGGAAAAUUUAGACGGGGUGUGUAGUUUAAAUAGAAAAACUGUUGACAUUUGAUUAGACAAUCCAAAGGAAACGAAAUUGGUUUGGUUUUGGAGAGAAAAAGGUGACGAUUGAGAUUUCAUGAGAGUGACGGACAGAGAGUUUGCUUAGGAGGGAAGCAGCACCACCGUCGCCAGAUGUUAAUUAGUGGGACCAAUGAGUGCACUGCUUUUCACGUGGCACACUCCCUCGUGGCCCAUGCGGGAACUAGGAGAAGAAUUAAUGAAAGGAAUUAGAUCAUCUUCGAAUCUCUUCACUGAGGAUUCCAAUGUUCAAUUAGUAACAAUCGUUUAUCAAAGAUCGUACGGUCAUAAUUUUUUUCUUUUUAUAUUUUUCAUGCGAAAUGAGACUGCUUUACUUUUGAAAAUAUAAAAAACAUUUAAUUAUGAUCAUACGAUAUUUGAUGAACGGUUAAUAGUAAUUGAUCAUCUGGAUCCCCAAUGAGGAGAUCUGGAGAGAAUCUAAUUCCUUUAUGAAACAAGUUUUUGUUCUAUGUGUAAGUUUUUAUUUUAUAAAUUAGAGAAAUGUUAGGAGUGUCUCAAAAGUCAAAUUUUUUAUGAAUUUUUUAUCGUCUCACAAUCUAAUGUCAAUUCCGUGCCAUAUGUAUAAAACAUUGUAAAAAAUAUGAGGUGGCAAAGAGUCUCAUUUACAUUCCUCCUAUAUAUUGUUUUAUUAUUGAAUUAGAACGCUUUUGUGACCUUUUAUUACUGAAUAAAAUCUCUUUAACUUUGUUUUAUUAGAUUUAACUAGGGCUGGGCAUGGGCCGGGCGGGCCCAAUUUUGGAGGAACCAGACCUACCCGUUUUAAAGUGUAAUGGGGUGGGCCGGGCUGGGUACAAGGAUUGUAAGUUUGGAAACCGUACCUAACCUGACCUGUUUGAAACGGGCCGGUUUGGGACGGGUCCACGAGUCCAAUUCCUUUUUUUUGCCAUCCUCUCUCUGAGAUUUCUUAGUCCCCAGUACCCAAACAAAAACCCACAUCUUGGAUCUCAUUGCCCCUCCAUAUCCUACAAAUUUCCUAUUUCCUAUUCCCUUGCCGCUUCAGAUCCCACCUUCCCAUUUCCCCAUUCCCAAUUCCUACUUCGGCCACCUCUGCUUUUGUUUUGAUACAGAGCUCCAAAACCGAUUUCUCGAGCAACAUGUGAAGGAUCAAUUUCAAAUCCAUGAGUCUAAACUGUGAGGGAGACAAGCUAACAAUGAGAAACAAGGGGCUUCAUUUUUCAAAUCACAAACAAUCUACCUGUGAAGGAUCAAUUUCAAAUGCAUGAGUUUCUUUUUCUUCAGCCGCAGCUGCUAGUUCUGCUUCAUUUAACAAAUCACUGGGACCAGCUCCAAUUUCACCCAUUGUUUUACUAAUGGUAAAAUCAUCAACAGUUCUUGAAACCCACCUUUUGCAUAAAGAACUCCAUCAAUAGCUAAUACAGUGACAACAACUGCAGCAAUAGCAACCAUACCUGCACCAACAGUUGAACCACCGGUGGUGAAUCGGUGAAGGUCUGGGAUGACGAAGGUAAAUCGGUGACAGUUUGAUUGGAAUCUGUUCGUGCCAGUGAUGUCGGCGUUCGGUGAUGUCGGCAAGGAGAGAUAGGAGUGGGAAAAGAGGCUGGGUCACUCGGAGAAACAAAUCCUAUCCAUUCAUUCCAUUUUAGAAACGGCCCGGGCGAGGCCCCGUGCUUUUACAUAUUUGGAAUCGCCCCGUCCCGUGAAAACCACCUCCCCGCCCCGUUUCUUCUUUAGAAAAAUUGGACCCGGCUUGUACCCGCCUUGAACCGCGAUUACCCGCCUCGACCCGUGGUUCAUAGACCCGUUUGCCCACUCCUAGAUUGAACUGCUACAUGAUUGUUGUAUGUGAACUGAAUAGUGAAAUCAAUUUCAUAUAAGUUAAUCUCAACAACUAGAAGUUAACUCGUUUCCAUGAAAUUGUAUUAUUGGAUGAAAAGGCAUCAUGUCAUAGUAUCAUUGUAUCGAAAUCCUUUCAUGACAUUGUACUAUUAAUCAAAGCCUCAAGACACCACAUGAUUUUGCAUUAUUAAAUUGGAUCACUACAUUGUAGAAUUCGUUUAAUGCAGGAAAGUGAUUUUUAUACCUUUUUAGCUUCGUACACAUUCCUAUUUAAUUUGACUAUAAAUUCUGUUAAACUUAUUCAAUCUAACCUCGAUUAAUAGGGAAAAUUAGAAUCCUCUAUAGUUUUUUUAUAUCAUUUAGAUUAAAUAUCUAUGCCUUUUUAAAAUUUGAUUAAAGUGCUUUGACCAAUAGUCACCUACAACAUCCCACAUAGCCUAGGGGAGUGGAUUCUCUAAGCUUUAUAUGUAUAUUCCUAUCUCUACCUAACACGAGGCCUUUUGGGAGUUCACUGGCUUUAGGUUCCAUCGGAAUUCCGAAGUUAAGCGAGUUCACGCGAGAGCAUUCCCAGGAUGGGUGACCCACUAGGAAGUUCUCGUGUAAGUUCCCAGAAACAAAACCAUGAGAGCGUGGUCGGGGCCCAAAGUGGACAAUAUUGUGUUACAGUGGAGUCCAGCCUGGGAUGUGGUGGGGGCCCGGGUCGGGAUGUGACAAUUUGGUAUCAGAGCCAAUCCCUGGCUGGAAGUGUGCCGACGAGGACGUCAGGCCCCUAAGGGAGGUGGAUUGCAACAGCCCACAUCGCCCAGGGGAGUGGAUCCUCUAAGCCUUAUAUGUAUAUUCUCAUCUCUACCUAGCACUAGGCCUUUUGGGAGCUCACUGGCUUCGAGUUCCAUUGGAACUCCGAAGUUAAGCGAGUUCGCAUGAGAGCCUUCUCAGGAUGGGUGACCCACUGGGAAGUUCUCGUGUGAUUUCCCAAAAACAAAACCGUGAGGGUGUGGUCGGGAUUCAAAACGGACAAUAUCGUGCAACGGUGAAGUCGAGUCCGAGAUGUGGUGGGAGCUCGGGCCGGGAUGUGACACACCUCUAUUUUUUAAAAAUUAAAUGCUAAAUUGUAGCAUUAUUGUGAAAAUAAAUUGAAUCUAAUUUUUUUUUUUACAAUUAUCUCUAACGGAGGAGAGUGUGAUCAAAAUGCUAGAUUAUAAAAAAAUUUAUUACAAUAAUAUGCAUAUAACACCAAAAUUAUGAUAAAAAAAAGUUUAAUCAAAUCGUUAAAAAACAUGAAUGUUUGAUUUAAAAAAUUCAAAACUAAAACGUCUAUAUCAAAAGAUUUCAUAAUAAAAAUAGAUGUGUGAAUCCCUUCUUGUAAAUUGUUCUUAAAAAUUAAAGUGUGGGACCCGCAUAACAUCACCAGUAAGGCCACUGUUUGCCGCAUGUGGUGGUGAAGUGGUUGCGGUGGAGUGGUGGUCAAGCACGCCGCAGCCAGGAGGGCCAUGCAAAGUUGUUUUGAAAUGAAAUCACAUGGCGCGCACUACCACUGGUCAUGGGGGUUUAACGCGCGUGAUUGGCGCUUAGGGGAGGUAGGGAUAGUUGUUUGGUAUGGACCCACGUCGGUCGAUGUGUCGUAAGUGGUGGUGGUGGGACGUGGGUAGGUACUUGGAAAGUUGGGCUUGUGGUACUAGCUACUACCUACUGGAUAUGUGUGCGUUAAUAUCUCUCUUCCAUCUUGCUGCAUGUGAGUUUGACUCAGUCUUACGUGCACUUUCUUUUCUUUUCCACAUCCUCCUAUCUUUGGACGAGUAGGGAUGGACACGGGCUGGAUUUAAUCGGUCAUAUAAAUAAAAAAUUAACAAAACCACUUAAGUAUAACGCUUUGAUGAUCACUUAGUACUACGGUUUAGUAGUAUUUUUUUUCAUUUGUAAGUGAGAGAUCUUAGGUUGCCACUUAGUAUUACGAUCUUGUGACAUUCCUCUUCACUUCUAAGUGAAAAGUCUUAUGUUCGAUUCUCGUCAAAGGUGAAUUUGAAUCAUAUUAUCGCUAGCCCAUUAUGAGGCUAAGCCACCCCCUCAUCUUAGUGUAGGUAAUAUCAUUUGUUCAAAAAAAUUUGAAAGAUCUUAUGUUUAAUUCUCGACAAAAAUAAAUUUAAACUACAUCAUCAUAGUUAGUUUAUUGUGUUUGUGAGGCAUAACCUAUUCCCACAAAAAAAAAAGAAAAAAAAAAGAAGGAAUAAUGCUUUGAUUUCGAUCCAUUUUUGACAAAAAUUCUUAAGAAAAUAAAACAAAACAAAACCAAAUAAAUAUUAAUUGUAAUUUUUUUUUUGAAUUUCUACCUAAUUAAAAUAACAAAAAUAUCAUAAUUUGCCACAUUUUUAUUUCCUAAUACAUCAAACCGUCCCAAAAUCUUUACAUGCCAUCAAAGUUCAAAGUUUAGUAACUACUAGAGUCACAACUCAAAGAACAAUAACUUCAAUAUUUCAUCAGCCUUCAAAUUCAACAUCCUUAAUUAAUAGCUAAUAGAAAAUACACGUGUAAAACAAAAUCAUAUAAAGGUUAAAUGUAAGUGGUUGGUACAUUUCGGUUUAGGUUGGUUUUACAAAGGCACAAAACUUUAACCAAAUCAAUCAUUAUAGUUUGGUUUGGUUUUAAACCGUUUGACUUUUUCUUUGAUCGAAACCAAACCUUCGCAACCACUGCAGUUUAUAUUUAGCAGGUUUGUGGACAAUUUUGCUAAUAUGAGAUUGUCUUCUUCAACUUUGGUAUGACAUGAUUCCCCUCUGUUGAUGGUUCGGGCUGCUUUGUUUUCAGACUAUGUUUGCUUUUCUGGCUUCCGUUUCUUAAAUUAAUAUGCAUCUCGACAUACAUGUUUGUCUCAUUUUCUAAUUUUUUUCUUAACCUUGUGAUGUUGCUUGUUUUGUUAUGUAGGUUUAAACAUUUAGGUUCGUCUUUAGACUUAGAUUUCAUGUCCCCGCCUUACCUUGUAUCUUUGCUGUUUUUGUUUCUAGAAGGAUAAUGUUUAUGUCUCCCCUUCUUUUCUAUAUAUCUUUAAUCAUUUUUUCUUGUAUUAUGAGGGGUUAGGUUUAUGUCCCUCCUGACUAGGUAUACCUUUUUUUUCGCUAUCAAUAAAAUUCUUCUCAUACCGUUGAGGUUUCUAAAAAAUAUAUAUAUAAAUAUAUAUUAGCGGGUUUGUUUGAUUUGGUCGGACUGAUGUCCACUCCUAUCUACGAUAGCUUAUUAGUUUUUAUCCGUCUGUUUUGUUUUCUGAAAUUUGCAUUUCCCUUAUAUAUUUUGAUACACUCACAUUAACUUAAAUUAAGACAAAGGCAUGUUUAUACACCGUCGUCAAAUUCUGAACCAAACCAUAUAACAAGGCAAGCAAAGUAUUAAGUCAACUUUGGGCUUCACAUUAUUGUUUGAGAUGACAUAGAAGUCCUUCCUCUUAAAUUACAUUAACUCGACUGCGUAAUAACACGGUCUAGUGAUAUUACUCCGUACUUUUAAGUGAGAGAUUUUAGGUUCAAAUCCUAUUUAUUCACCCACUAUCUAGUUAAAUAUAUAGUUGUAUCAAAAUUACAUCUACUCGAUUUACAUUAUUGUUUGAGAUGACAUGAAAGUCCCUCCUCUUAAAUUACAUCAACUCGAAUACUUAAUAACACAGUCUAGUGAUAUUACUCUGUACUUUUAAGUGAAAGAUUUUUGGUUCAAAUUCUAUUUAUUCACCCGCUAUCUAGUUAAAUAUAUAGUUGUAUCAAAAUUACAUCUACUCAAUUUAGCUGGUUAACAUUACAUGUGAUUUAACAAAGAUGCUUCAAAUAUAGGAUCUUAUAAUACAAAGGAUGUGAUAUAUGCGCGAGUCGUUACAUGCAUAGUAUACAAAUUAUCGAACAUGUCAAAACUCGAUAGUUGUAUCUGGUUAAUUAACUUUUGCUUUGUAGCACUUAGUAGUCUGGAGUUCAACGCAAUCGCCAAAGUUAGAGGGAUGAUCGCCAGAUGGGUUGGCAGAUGAAAGGGGGUAUGGAAGCAAGAUCAGAAAACGGGAAAGCGGAGGUUGGUGAUUGCUAUGGGUGCUUAUUGGGGCGGUGGAAAGAGGAGGUGGCCAGUCGUGGUUUUUUAAACAAAAAAAAGAAGAUAAUAAUAAAAGAAAAGAAGAAUUUGGAGCUGGUAAGACCAAUGAACGAUUGACAGAUUCCUAUCUACUAAACUACUCCAUCACCCCAUACUUGUCAUCCCUGGAGCAUGACUAUGAUCCGUGCCGUAUGUACUUGGAGUUGGAAGCGUGCACAUUAGCUUGACAGGAUGUGAUCUUCCAAUACUAAUAAAAAAAGGGUGUGAUCUCUCUAUGUACCCAAAUUUGAUUAUCUCUCCCGCGCAAGUUAAACUAUUUUAGAAUAAAAUACCACUUGCAUAAAGGGAUAAAAAAUAACAAGAUGAGAAUGAGUGUUGUAAGGGAUAGGUUCUCAUUCCCGGUCGCUUUCAGGUAGUAUGUUCAUUGCUAAGUGACCAUUGUUGAGUGGUGAUCCCAUCAAGCAAGACGAGAUCACUACUUUUCUCAGUAAUGAACUUCCUUGAGUUCUUCCUUAUCUUGAUUCUAAAGUUUUAAUGUAAACUUAUUGUCCGAGUCUGAGAAGAAAUUAUACCGUCGCAAGUAGUUACGAUACUGUUUAAGCACAACAAAGCGUGCUUGGAUUUUUAAAAAAUCUUUAAAAGGGCGAAAAUGGAUUUUUAACUCUUGCUAACCUUCGCGUUUUUAAUUAACUGCAAAGGGAUUUGCAUUCGCUUCUACCCCGGUUCACUCCUGAUAACCAGCAAGCCGAAAAAUAAACCUUUCAAUCAUCUUAGCACUCGAGAGGAAUUCCCCGAGUUAUCUCUUUGAAUCAUGUUAUUAACUAGGCUGUUACGUCAUCGAGUCAGAUCAAUGUUAGCAAGCUACGACAAGAUCAAAGAAGACUUGUUGAAUCCACCAGUAUUGGUCCCAACUCCUGGAAGGCCAUUCUCAUGUACCUAAAUGUCCUAGAGUCAUCAAUGGGCAUUGUCCUCGGGAAUCAUGAUGAGUUAGGCAAGAAGAAAGUCUUACUACUGCAGUUUAUAUUAGCAGGUUUGCUAAUAUGGGGUUGUCUUCUCCAACUUUGAUAUGUCAUGAUUUCUCUCUGUUGACAGUUUAAGCUGCUUUAUUUUUAGACUAUGUUGACUUUUCUGACUUCCGCUUCUUAAAUUAAUGUGCAUCUCGGCAUACAUGUUAGUCUUAUUUUUUGGUUUUUUUCUUCUUAAUCUUGUGAUGUUGCUUGUUUUGUUUUGCAGGUUUAAACCUUUAGGUUCAUCUUUAAAGAGGUUAGAUUUCAUGUCCCCCACCCCCCCUCCUUGUAUCUUUGUUGUUUUUGUUUCUAGAAUGAUAAAGUUUAUGUCUCCAGUUCUUUUUCAUAUAUCUUUAAUCCUUUUUUCUUGUAUUAUGAGAUCAUCUCCAAUGGUUGGGCUAAAAGCCAAAUAUUUUAGCCUGGAAAAUUUAGCUUUUAGCCCAUAAACAAUUUUUCUACUCCAACCAUUAGACCAUCUCCAAUGGUGGCUUAUAACCUAAAUUUUCCCCUUCCCCCCCCCAAAUCCACCCCAACCCAAAACCUAAAACCUAAAACUUAAAAUGAAGGUAAAUAUAGGUCACAAAUUUAGCCCACAAAAGCUGUUGGGACCCACGGAUGAGAGUGAAAAGUGGGCCUUGUCCUAUAGCCAACGGCUACUUUUCUUCAUCGGGUGGUGGUGUUAAUUGGACCGUUGGUUAAUCCAACGGUCCACAUUCAAUUUUUUUGUUGUUUUAUAUUUAUAUAUUUAUUGAAUCUAACGGCUUAAAUCGAAUAUAAUCAAAUCUAACGGUAAAAAAAAAGAUCUAACGGUCCAAAUUUAAAUCCAAUGGCAAGAAUAAUCUUAAAAUUUAUCGGAAAUUUAAAUAUUUUUUUCCAACGGCUAGAAUAUAGAUAUUUUUUUAAGUUUAUGUGGUUUAUCAUGAUUUUCAUGUAUUGAUUUAGUGAUUUUUCAAAAUUUAUCGGAAUUUAAAUAUUUUUAGGUUAAAAUGUUCAUAAAAUUAAUUUAGGAUAGUCUACAUAAUUUUUUUUUUUAAAGUUAAUUUAAAAAAAAAAUAGCCUUAAUUCAUUUUUUGAUAAUCUGGGGCUAAAAUUUUAGGCCAAAAGGGUUGGAGUAGAAAAGCUGUUUCUGGGCUAAAACUUAAAUUUUCUGGGCUAAAUAUUUUUAGGUUUUAGGUUAGGAUUGGAGAUGGUCUUAUAGCCUAAAAUUUUAGCCCGGGAUUAUUAAAAAAUGAACUUAGGCUUUUUUUUGUUAAAUUAAUUAAAAAAAAUAUGUAGACUAUCAUAAAUUAAUUUUAUGGAUAUUUUAACCUAAAAAAAAUUUAAAUUCCGAUUUAUGGGCUAAAUUUCGGGGGAUCUGGCCUUGGUUUAGCAUUUAGCAUUUAGCCCAAAUUUUCCCCUUGGGUUGGAGUGGGUUUGGGGGGAAAUUUUGGGGGGUAAUUUGGCUUUUAGCCCAUCAUUGGAGUUGGUCUGAGGGGUUAAGUUUAUGUCCCUCCUGACUAGCUGUACCAUUUUUUUCGAUAUUAAUAAAAUUCUCCUCGUACCGUCGAUAUUUCUAAAAAUAAUAAUAAAAAAAAAGCUAGUUUGUUUGAUUUGGUCGGAUUGAUGUCCACUCCAGUUACGAUAGCUUAUUAGAGUUUAUCGGUCUCUAUUGUUUUCUGAAAUUUGCAUUUCCCUUAUAUAUUUUUAUGCACUCACAUUAACCUAAAUUAAGACAAAGGCGUACACAUACGUUUAUACACCGUCGUAAAAUUCUGAACCAAACCAAAUAAUUAACAAGGCAAUCAAAGUGUUAAGUCGGAACUUUGGACUUCACAUUAUUGUUUGAGAUGAUAUAGAAGUCCCUCCUCUUAAAUUACAUCAACUCGGCCGCUUAGUACCAUGAUCUAGUGAUAUUACUCUAUACUCUUAAGUGAAAAAUUUUAGAUUCGAAUUUUGUACAUAAUGAGUUCGAUUUAUUCACCCACUAUCUAGUUAAAUAUAUAGUUGUAUCAAAAUUACAUCAACUCGAUUUAGCUGGUUAACAGUACAUGUGAUUUAACAAAGAUGCUUCAAAUAUAUAGGAUCUUAUAAUACAAUGGAUGUGAUAUAUGCGCGUUACAUGCAUAGUAUACAAAUUGGUUCCGAAGCUCAUAUAGAGAAUAGAACUUGAACAAGGCCUUCCCGACUUUACCUUCUCAAGCAAGCCUGAACGACCUUACUGUCACAACUUGAAUGGCGACUAGCUUUACUUGAUAGAGUUGCUUUCCAUGCCGUUAUAGGCAACCGGCCACCCUCUAAUUACUAGACUAACCUGCUAUAAUAAUUUCAUAAACACCUAGCGAAGAUAUGACAGACAAAUUAAGUAACCCUAUGUUCGAUCUGACAAUACCAUACCAUAAUCAAAAGGUAGGAUAACUCAUUCUACUAGGAGAUAUUUCAUUGUUCGCAAAAAUAUCCACUGCUUCAACUUACUGGAACUCAUUUGAGAUGUGAUGUUACUAAAGUCUAUGACUAUGUACAUACAUGGUGAAUUUGGUGGUCCUAUGGGUCAUGAGACACUGUAAAAGUUGAAAAUAUGGGGGGAGGGUCGCCGAAGGACCCUAUGACGAUCUGGUACAGAACUUGAAAUUGAUCGAUGAAAUCCUUCUUGGACAUAAUUCGACUGGCAUUGGGACAUGCCUUGGAAGCUGUCGAUAGACCUAAGCAGCAAGCCUUGGAAGAUAUUGAUAGACUCAGGCAAAUAAUGGCACCCCCAAAUAAUGGCACCCCCAUCAUGUGCUCAACUAAAUAUCUCAACGAAAAACUGAAUCAUAUCUUAAAUUAAAAAUGAAUUAUUGGGUUCCUUAAAUUAAAAAUGAAUUAUUGGGUUCCUUAAGUAGAUCAUGGGUUGCCCUAAUUAGGUGAACCACAAUUUAUCACAUGUAAAUAUAUAUCAUUGGUGCCACUUGUCCGUACGGCUGUGAACGAGCCGAGUCAAACCGAAAUCACCAUGCUCAAGUUUAGCUUGUUUAAUUUUUUCUGAACUCGAGCUAGGUUUGUCUUGGCUCUUACUUCUUACACAAGCCGACCUCAUGCGAGCUUAAAAAAUUCGAGUUCAAUACCGAGCUCAAGCUGUUUCGAACUUUUUCUUAUAGUAAAUUGGUUUGAUUUUGUAAAAAGCUUCUGCAAUAUCAUGAUAGGGUUUUGGCUUAAAAGUUGAACACCGUAUAAUCUUUUUAAUAUAGUGGUCGAAAGUAAUCAUAAAUCAUGAUAUAUUAUUCCUUAGUAAUCGUUAAUCAUGAUAUUGUGUUAAGUAAGAAAAAAAGUUAUAUAUUACAAUACAGUGUUUUGUGAAUUAUAUUAAUCGAACGAUAUAAUUUUUAGUGUACGCUACCAUACAAUAAACAUAUAACAAUAGUUUACCGAUUGAGCUUUCGAUGAGCCAAACACAAACCGAACCCGGUGCAAGCUCGAACUAGGCUGCUCAUGUGGCACCAAAUAUCUCGCUCCUGAGCACGAGUCACCACCGUAUCAUCUCUAGGACCCAGCAACCCCUCAGUAAGUGGUAAAUGGUAAAUCCAUGUACCAAUUACCAACGGUAAAAAAUUGCCCUUCGUCGUCUUUAAUUCGAGCGGUUCAAUUUGUAACCGUUUGUUAAGAAGUGGGACUGGGAAAGCAGUAAAAAUAUCAACCGAGGCUGCGGAACUGGAGGCUUUGAAAAUCAACGACUCGUGUGUCAACUGGGUCUGGAAUCGUCCUCGAUCUUCCGAAUUUCAGGUUAGCUGAGUGAAAUUAUGAAGAUAAUUGACUGUACGGAAUCUCCGCUCUUGCUGGUCGAGCUGAGCGGAAGCUUGUUUGUUCAUGUAGGGCUCGGGUUUUGACGUCGAUCGGCGAUGGCUGUUGAAGAAGUUGCCGAGCAGGUAGUUGCGCCGCCGCAGAAGGCGAAGGAGCCUUCCGAAGAUGAGAAACGGUAGUUUUUUUUUUUUUUAUUGGAAUCAAGCAGUGAAAUGCUAUAUUGAAGUUCAUUGAUUUUUAUUUGAUUUUAUUAAUUCAGGAGGAAGAAAAUAGCGGCCGGAGCUUUGAUGAAAGCGGUGAUAAGGCCCGGUGGAGGCGAUUCGACCCCUUCGGAUGGUUAUCAGGUUAGAGCUUGUGUUGAUUUUUGAUGAGCUAUUACUGCAAUUGAAUUGUGUCACAUUAAGAAUUUUGGUGGAUAACGUUACGGAAGGAAAUUGCGAAAGCUAAAUUGCGUUGUGCAUUUUGCAGGUUGUAUAUCAUUCCACUGUUAGAACAAUGGAUGGAGUUGUUGUCGAAUCGUCCCGAUCGGAAUAUGGAGGCAAGUUGGGUGCCAUGGUACUAAUUAGAUUUUAGUAUGUAUAGAGAUUAGUGGACUUGUAAAUGACACUCGUUAUAUGUUUUCCCCCUAAAUAGCUUUUGUGUUGUCUUGUAUUCUAUGAUUUACCUAAAGUUGUUGAACGAAAGUAAUGCAUUUUAUUUUUCCUAAUUUUAUUUCGACUUGAGUAAAUGAGUUUCCAUGUUAAAAUGCUCUGUUAUGUUCAUUGAAUUGAAUAAAUACUUAUUUACAGGCAAGGGUACUCCUAUUCGACAUGUUUUGGGAAGGAGCAAGAUCAUAGUGGGUUUGCUAGAAGGACUUCCAACAAUGCUGAAGGGUGAAGUUGCAAUGGUAAUAUCGUCUUGGUUCAGUGAGCUUUGUCUUUUGCCUAUGAAUGUGUGCAUCUUUGGCUCAUGUUUACAAAAUUGUAUUAUUUAUUAUUUCAGUUCAAAAUGAAACCCCAAGUGCACUACGGUGAGGAUGAUUGCCCAGUUUCAGCACCCAGCGGCUUUCCAAAGGAUGACGAACUUCAUUUUGAAAUUGAGAUGAUAGAUUUCUUUAAAGCCAAGGCAAGAAUUUCAAAACAGAAAUCUCAUGGUUGAAAUUGCUUGCAGUACAAUUGAUUGGACGGUGGUCAAUGCACUAGGCUACUCAUUGGUUCUGAUCUUAUUUAUUUCAUUUUGGUUAAUUUUCAGGUCGUUAGUGAUGACUUGGGAGUUCUAAAGAAGGUAUGGGAAAUUAAUUGUUGCACUUUUGUUCUGACUUAGGAGCAUGCUGAUAUAACUCACAAACGCUUUCAGAAUAUUUGUUCGAUUAUGAUUGAUGUGAAUCGCUAUAAUGUAGGUAAUAACUGAAGGUCAGGGUUGGGAAUCGCCAAGGGAACCUUAUGAAGUAAAAGCCUGGUAAACACCUUUUUUUUUCCCUUCCCAAUAAGUAUUCUGUUUCUGUAAUGAACUGUAAAUAUGAAUGUGUGGAAACGUUCUAAGGGAGGUAUAUGGUUGUUUUCAGGAUUUCUGCGAAGACAGGUGAUGGAAAAGUGCUUGUUUCACGUACUCAAGGAGAGCCAUUUUUCUUUAAUUUUGGAAAGUCAGAGGUUGGUAACCGAUUUCUCAUUACUUGCUUUGUUGGUGUUGAGUCGUUCAUUUGUUUUAUUUCAUGUGACAUUGCUCUUAGCUGUACUUAUCUGAUGGGUUUAAAUUGCAUUUUUGGUGCUAAUUUUCUUCUUUCAUACACUAAAGAGUACAUUAAGACCAAGGAACAAAAUGCCGAUAAUAUCGGCGAUAUUUCGCCGAUAUUAUCCGUUUUUCACGGUACCGAUAUUUUAAUAGGUAUCCAACGGGUUUUCGUCAAAAUAUCGCGAUAUUAUCGAUAAUAUCGCGAUAUUUCCGAAACUAUCGCGAUAUUUUGGAACUGUGCUACUCGGAGAAGAACGCUGGAGCUUCUACAGCUCCGGCCGAUUACAAACGCAAACCUUAGACUCCGAUCUAAUUACCAACGUGAAGAGGAAAGAGAGAGGAGUAAGUUUAUACCCCUGGUUCGCCGUGAAAUGGCCGAAGGUGUUCGGAAAGCUCCUCAACAGUCACGGGUUCGCCGGAGUUGGGUGAGCUUUCCCCCGACCUGAUCUCGUUCCAUAACACACACCCAAGCUUACCUAACCGGAGAAAAUGAAGAAAACUCGCCGGAGGUUUCUGGGUUUCGUCGAUCUUGCAGAGACAAGAGGAAGAGAGAGAAAGACGAGGUUUUGAUGGUGAUGCUGUCUACGGAACGAUGGUGUGGGUGCCGUGUACUAGGGUAAUCACGGGAGAAAGAGUGAGAGUGAUGAGAGGGUUUCGAGAGAGAAGAGAGUGUGCAGAGAAGGAAAGAAA